GGGGCCAUAGCUCAUUUGGCUAGAGCACCUGCUUUGCACGCAGGGGGUGGUCGGUUCGAAUCCGACUGGCUCCA
Molecule: transfer RNA, 74 nt
Filed under: Candidatus Rickettsiella viridis
Lineage: Bacteria; Pseudomonadati; Pseudomonadota; Gammaproteobacteria; Legionellales; Coxiellaceae
Description: Rickettsiella endosymbiont of Acyrthosiphon pisum tRNA
Rfam family: tRNA
About the family: Transfer RNA (tRNA) molecules are approximately 80 nucleotides in length.
Source: Rfam by way of RNAcentral